GGGGAAUAUUGCGCAAUGGGGGAAACCCUGACGCAGCAACGCCGCGUGAGUGAAGAAGGUCUUCGGAUCGUAAAACUCUGUCAUCGGGGACGAAGAAGUGACGGUACCCGAGGAGGAAGCCCCGGCUAACUACGUGCCAGCAGCCGCGGUAAUACGUAGGGGGCGAGCGUUGUCCGGAAUUACUGGGCGUAAAGGGUGCGUAGGCGGUCUGUUAAGUCAGAUGUGAAAUACCUCGGCUCAACUGAGGGGUUGCAUUUGAAACUGGUAGGCUAGAGUACAGGAGAGGGAAGUGGAAUUCCUAGUGUAGCGGUGAAAUGCGUAGAGAUUAGGAAGAACACCAGUGGCGAAGGCGGCUUCCUGGCCUGUAACUGACGCUGAGGCACGAAAGCGUGGGUAGCGAAC
RNAcentral lists this ribosomal RNA (402 nucleotides) under uncultured bacterium. RNAcentral's name for it is "bacterial SSU rRNA". It matches the Rfam family "Bacterial small subunit ribosomal RNA", at positions 356 to 773 of the family's 1533-position model. The record is from RNAcentral.